This is a non-coding RNA of Sturnus vulgaris (Common starling), 543 nucleotides long. The record is from RefSeq and is a predicted model, not a curated record. Lineage: Eukaryota; Metazoa; Chordata; Aves; Passeriformes; Sturnidae.
UGAUGCUGGCUGUUGCACUCUCUCAAGUGCAAAGACUUCCCAUGAGUGAUGCAGGGCCAACAGCAGCCCUGUGUCUGUAGAGUGCCUUCAAAACUCAGCUGUUCCAGCCGGUGCCAACCUGUGAAAGCUCCACAGAAUCCCAUUAUCUACUACUCCAAAAACUACUUAACAGUUUCCUUGCGGUAAUCACACCGAGCAAGCCAGGACAAAAGGGCCUAUUGUUAGUGGAAUUUAUUUCUUAUUUCCAUCUGAGCCUUUUAACUGUUAUUUCCAUGUCUUGCAAGUUCGGGCUUCAUUUACUUCAAAUUUACAAGAAUUUAGCCUUUUGGGAUUUUGGGGGGAAGGGCUUUUUUUGUUGUUGUUGUUUGUUCUAUUUCCCUUUGAUUUUUGUCAUGGGAUGUGCCUCCAGCCAGCAAAGAAGGAAAUCUUACCGUUGUGAUGUACCAAGAGAAUUCUAACAACUGUCAUUUUAAUUGCGGACAUGCAUUGAAGAGAUGUCUAUCCGUUUUGAGAAUUUUAAUACAAACGCUGUUUUUUAGAAAA